Molecule: ribosomal RNA, 253 nt
Filed under: uncultured bacterium
Lineage: Bacteria
Description: partial 16S ribosomal RNA
Rfam family: Bacterial small subunit ribosomal RNA
Source: RNAcentral
UACGUAGGGUGCAAGCGUUGUCCGGAAUUAUUGGGCGUAAAGAGCUCGUAGGCGGUCUGUCACGUCGGCUGUGAAAACCCGAGGCUCAACCUCGGGCCUGCAGUCGAUACGGGCAAACUAGAGUGUUGCAGGGGAGACUGGAAUUCCUGGUGUAGCGGUGAAAUGCGCAGAUAUCAGGAGGAACACCGGUGGCGAAGGCGGGUCUCUGGGCCGAUACUGACGCUGAGGAGCGAAAGCGUGGGGAGCGAACAGG